CCUACGGGAGGCAGCAGUAGGGAAUAUUGCUCAAUGGGGGAAACCCUGAAGCAGCAACGCCGCGUGGAGGAUGAAGUUUUUCGGAUUGUAAACUCCUUUUGUUAGAGAAGAUAAUGACGGUAUCUAACGAAUAAGCACCGGCUAACUCCGUGCCAGCAGCCGCGGUAAUACGGAGGGUGCAAGCGUUACUCGGAUUCACUGGGCGUAAAGAGCGCGUAGGCGGGAUAGCAAGUCAGAGGUGAAAUCCUAUGGCUUAACCAUAGAACUGCUUUUGAAACUGUUAUUCUAGAGUAUGGGAGGGGUAGGUGGAAUGCUUGGUGUAGGGGUAAAAUGCGUAGAGAUCAAGAGGAAUACUCAUUGCGAAGGCGACCUGCUAGAACAUAACUGACGUUGAUGCGCGAAAGCGUGGGGAGCAAACAGGAUUAGAUACCCGAGUAGUC
This 440-nucleotide ribosomal RNA is filed under the name uncultured bacterium. RNAcentral describes it as "partial 16S ribosomal RNA". It matches the Rfam family "Bacterial small subunit ribosomal RNA", at positions 338 to 795 of the family's 1533-position model. The record is from RNAcentral.